Molecule: ribosomal RNA, 291 nt
Filed under: uncultured bacterium
Lineage: Bacteria
Description: partial 16S ribosomal RNA
Rfam family: Bacterial small subunit ribosomal RNA
Source: RNAcentral
GUGGAUUAGAUACCCGGGUAGUCCACGCUGUAAACGAUGAGUGUUAGGUGUUGGGAUCGUAAGAUCUCAGUGCCGCAGCUAACGCAUUAAACACUCCGCCUGGGGACUAAGGUCGCAAGAUUAAAACUCAAAGGAAUUGACGGGGACCUGCACAAGUGGUGGAACAUGCGGUUUAAUUCGAUGUUACGCGAAAAACCUUACCAACUCUUGACAUGGUGGUCGCGAGGUGCAGAAAUGUACUUCUUCAGUUCGGCUGGACCACACACAGGUGUUGCAUGGCCGUCGCCAGCU